GGAGAGGUGGCAGAGCGGCCGAUUGCACCGGUCUUGAAAACCGGCAGAGGCGCAAGUCUCUCGUGGGUUCGAAUCCCACCCUCUCCG
This 87-nucleotide transfer RNA is filed under the name Planctomycetaceae bacterium. Its description in RNAcentral is "tRNA-Ser". It matches the Rfam family "tRNA". From Rfam's summary of the family: Transfer RNA (tRNA) molecules are approximately 80 nucleotides in length. Their secondary structure includes four short double-helical elements and three loops (D, anti-codon, and T loops). Lineage: Bacteria; Pseudomonadati; Planctomycetota; Planctomycetia; Planctomycetales; Planctomycetaceae. The record is from RNAcentral. RNAcentral also lists the same sequence under 1 other name.